CCCUUAGAUGUUCUGGGCUGCACGCGCGCUACACUGAUGCACUCAACGAGUUUACGACCUUGCCCGAUAGGGUUGGGUAAUCUUUUUAAAAUGCAUCGUGAUGGGGAUAGAUUAUUGCAAUUAUUAAUCUUCAACGAGGAAUUCCUAGUAAGCGCGAGUCAUCAGCUCGUGCUGAUUACGUCCCUGCCCUUUGUACACACCGCCCGUCGCUCCUACCGAUUGAGUGCUCAGGUGAAUAAUUCGGACUGCAGCAAUGUUUGGAUCCCGAACGUUGCAGCGGAAAGUUUAGUGAACCUUAUCACUUAGAGGAAGGAGAANUCGUAACA
Molecule: ribosomal RNA, 326 nt
Filed under: uncultured eukaryote
Lineage: Eukaryota
Description: partial 18S ribosomal RNA
Rfam family: Eukaryotic small subunit ribosomal RNA
Source: RNAcentral